UUAUAGAAAGCUAAUAAUAGUACCUCAUUGUUAAUGGGGCUAAGAGAACUCCUCUCUGUAAA
This 62-nucleotide transfer RNA is filed under the name Thalassaphorura encarpata. RNAcentral describes it as "tRNA-Asn". The record is from RNAcentral. Lineage: Eukaryota; Metazoa; Arthropoda; Collembola; Poduromorpha; Onychiuridae.